RNAcentral lists this long non-coding RNA (328 nucleotides) under Capsicum annuum. RNAcentral's name for it is "long non-coding RNA (CANN_LNC018080)". The record is from RNAcentral. Lineage: Eukaryota; Viridiplantae; Streptophyta; Magnoliopsida; Solanales; Solanaceae.
GACCACCACAUUGUUAUUGAAAGAAUGUAAAUCCUUGAAUAAUUUUGACUUAUGCUUUCAAAACACGAAAUCUCUUACACUAUUUGCAUGUUUGGGUGGUCUGAAUUGAGUUUUUGAUGAAAGAAUCAUACAUGAUGCAUUAUGGCUCAGAAAUAGGAUGUGCAAGUCUUGGUGUGAGGACACUAACUCAGAUAAUGGCAUGGUAAUUCAGAAUAGAACAGAAUGCAUGUUUGAAAUCAGAUUUUCAGAUUUUAAAACUAAAAUGAUGCAUGUUUCAGAACAAACUAAAAUUGGGCAUAAAGAGAGCUUAGGUGGUUCUCCGAAGAAG